Callithrix jacchus (white-tufted-ear marmoset) is the source of this 1584-nucleotide long non-coding RNA. Lineage: Eukaryota; Metazoa; Chordata; Mammalia; Primates; Cebidae. The record is from Ensembl.
GUUUCAGUGUAUGAAUUCUGGGUGGAAACAAAUCUUUUGGUCUGUAACACCAUGUCCUUGAGGAAUCGCCACACUGUCUUCCCUUUUAUAACUUCUUCCAGCCAUGUAUUCCAGUCAGUGUCAAAUGGCAUUGUGGCAAUGGGGUUGCUGCUGCCCCACCAAACCUGCAAUCUCUCAGGAAAAGCUUGAAGAUGGGCCAUCACUUCUGCUCUAGCAUUUCAAGAAAAACCUCAUUUCCCUUGCUUGCCUGUUUAUGUCUCACUCCCAUGCCUGAGACAAGCCUUGGAAUCUGAAGCAACAUGAUGGAACAGUUAAUUCUGGACACGUUCAUUUUCUCUGAGCCAGAGACAGGAAGAGUGUCAAGUGUGUGGGAAGAGUGUAAGGGAUAAAUAAAAAAAGUAAAGUUUUGAAACUGUUUAGUCCUUUUGGGCUGUUAUAGUAAAAUACCAUAAACUGAAUAUCUUAUAUAUAACAUAAAUUGAUUUUUAACAGUUCUAGAGGCUAAGAAAUCCAAGAUCAAGGCAUCAGCAUAUCUGAAGUCUGAGGAACACCUACUUUCUCCUAGAUGUUGCCUUCUUGCAGUGUCUUCACAUUGAGGAAGAGAGAAACAAGCUUCUUUGGGCAUUUUUCUUUUUAAAGAAACUAAUCCCAUUCAUGAGGGCAGAGCCUCCCAAAGGCCUAAUGUAUUAAUACCAACACAUUAAGAUUAGGUUUUAACAUGUGAAUUCUGAAAACAUUCAGACCAUAGCAAGAUCUUAGACUAAAAAAAAAGAGGAAAUAAGAUUAAAGUCUAAUUAACUGAGGGCCCCUACACUAAGAUCGAAUAGCUAGCAUGUAGCUAUAACAGAAUUUGAUCCUACAUAACUUUUUUAAGUAUGCACCAUACUCUAUCCCUAAAUCCAAUAUUAAAAGUUUUUUAUAACUAAAUCAAUUAUCUAAUUUCCUAUAUCAUUUAUAAUUUGUAGAUUUUCCUUUUUCCAGAGAACCACCUUAAAACCUGUUUUCAAUGUGUUGUGUUAUGUUAUAUUUUGUAUGUAAUGUUUAUUAUUGACACUCUUGGGUGCUUAUUAACAAUAAUAAAAUAGAAUAUAUUUUCAAUUUAUUCUUGUGCCUGCCAUCUUCAAGAAAUAGAAUCUUCAUAUUUGUUAGCAUACUGUAAAUGAGAAAAUUUAAAGAAGGAGCAAGUGAAUCUGUCAUGCCCAUGCAAUUCUAAAGGAAUAAAAUGUAUCAAAGUAGAAAAAAUCUUGAGGCAUAAAGCUUCCCUAAUCAAACCAAAGAGGUACAUUAUAAAAAGGAAGAAAUAAACUAGCUUUUAUAGUCUGAAAAGUGAUUAGAAGCAUUAUGAGUUAGACUGUAGAAUGAGCACAGACAGGAAAAUUGUCAAAAUGGACACUAGCACAUGUCCUGGAUAGCUGAGCCCCAAAGCACACAUCAACAUUUAAUGGGGCAGCAAUAAGGGUUUAUUUUAUAAGUAUAAAUAGAAAUGAGGAAGAAUACACUGAAAAUUUUAUGAACGCAAGUUCAGACACUUUGGUGAUUUUCGAAGGUAGGACUGGUGGCAUAUAAGAAGCGUAGGGGUCGGGU